UUGUUGCUGGCCCUCAGAUGGGGGCAUGUGCACACUCUGUUUACACAUCCACUCACACCUGUGCACUCCUCUGUAGUACUGUGGUCUGGGGGUUCUGUCCUCCUACUGUGGUUCUGCGUAUUUAUACACACACACUGUAAUAAAGUCUCAUGGAAUGUAUGCCGCGUUUAACGCAAUGAAAUACAACUUUCAGCAACGGAUCUCUUGGCUCUCGCAUCGAUGAAGAACGCAGCGAAAUGCGAUAAGUAAUGUGAAUUGCAGAAUUCAGUGAAUCAUCGAAUCUUUGAACGCACCUUGCGCCCUUUGGCUAUUCCGAAGGGCAUGCCUGUUUGAGUAUCAUGAACACCUCAACUCUCAUGGCUUGCCAUGAUGAGCUUGGACUUGGGGGUUUUGCUGGCCUACAGUCAGCUCCCCUCAAAUGCAUCAGCUUUCCAGUUUUUGGUGGCACCACAAGUGUGAUAAACAUCUACACGUGUGGUUCCCCACCAUGUAACCUUCAGUGAUGGAGGUUUGCUGGAGCUCACAAAUGUCUUUCCUCAGUGAAGACAGUUCUUUGAUUGUUUGAUCUCAAAUCAGGUAGGACUACCCGCUGAACUUAAGCAUAUCAAUAAGCGGAGGAAAAGAAACUAACAAGGAUUCCCCUAGUAACUGCGAGUGAAGCGGGAAGAGCUCAAAUUUAAAAUCUGACGUGCCUCUGGUCGUCCGAGUUGUAGUCUGGAAAAGUGUUUUCCGUGCUGGACCGUGUACAAGUCUCC
Molecule: ribosomal RNA, 755 nt
Filed under: uncultured fungus
Lineage: Eukaryota; Fungi
Description: eukaryotic LSU rRNA
Rfam family: 5.8S ribosomal RNA (bases 185-339)
Source: RNAcentral